This 689-nucleotide ribosomal RNA is filed under the name uncultured bacterium. RNAcentral's name for it is "bacterial SSU rRNA". It matches the Rfam family "Bacterial small subunit ribosomal RNA", at positions 32 to 715 of the family's 1533-position model. The record is from RNAcentral.
AACGCUAGCUACAGGCUUAACACAUGCAAGUCGAGGGGUAGCACGGAGGAAGCUUGCUUCCUUGGGUGACGACCGGCGCACGGAUGAGUAACGCGUAUCCGACCUACCCAUAACACGGGCACAGCCGCUCGAAAGAGUGAUUGAUUCCCGAUAUGUCAUAUAAGUAGAUUAUAUGAUGAAAGAUUUAUCGGUUAUGGAUGGGGAUGCGUAAGAUUAGGUAGUAGGCGGGGUAACGGCCCACCUAGCCGACGAUCUUUAGGGGUUCUGAGAGGAAGGUCCCCCACACUGGUACUGAGACACGGACCAGACUCCUACGGGAGGCAGCAGUGAGGAAUAUUGGUCAAUGGGCGGAAGCCUGAACCAGCCAAGUAGCGUGAAGGAUUACAGCCCUACGGGUUUUAAACUUCUUUUAUAUAAGAGUAAUGUGCACUACGUGUAGUGUAUUGCAAGUAUUAUAUGAAUAAGCAUCGGCUAACUCCGUGCCAGCAGCCGCGGUAAUACGGAGGAUGCGAGCGUUAUCCGGAUUUAUUGGGUUUAAAGGGAGCGUAGGCGGGAUAUUAAGUCAGUCGUCAAAGCCUGUGGCUCAACUACAGCCCGCGAUUGAUACUGGUAACCUUGAGUGCGGAUGAGGCGGAUGGAAUUCGUGGUGUAGCGGUGAAAUGCUUAGAUAUCACGAAGAACUCCGAUUG